AWUAGAAUYAGRGURGUKUAUUCCGGACUSUUYUGCCYGCUSGCCCCGSCCGMCAGGWGUGAUGGAUAUYUUUYKSGRGMRCCCUUAGAGUUUGAUCCUGGCUCAGGACGAACGCUGGCGGCGUGGAUAAGGCAUGCAAGUCAAGGGGCCCGCAAGGGCACCGGCAAACGGGGUAGUAAUACGUAGGUAUCAACCCUGAAGAGGAGCAUAGCUGGUCGAAAGACCAGGUAAUUCUCCAUAGUCCCUGAGAGCAAUCGAAGGGUAAAGAUGCAAAUCGCUUCAGGAUGAGCCUGCGGGCUAUCAGCUAGUUGGUAGGGUAAUGGCCUACCAAGGCGAUGACGGCUAGGGGGGGUGAGAGCCUGUUCCCCACCAAUGGCACUGAGACACGGUCCAGACUCCUACGGGAGGCAGCAGUGGGGAAUUUUGCGCAAUGGGCGAAAGCCUGACGCAGCAACGCCGCGUGAGUGAUGAAGGCUUUCGGGUCGUAAAGCUCUGUCAAUGGGAAAGAAGUGUAUUUUGGCUAAUAUCCUUAAUACUUGACGGUACCCAUAAAGGAAGCACCGGCUAACUCCGUGCCAGCAGCCGCGGUAAUAC
This 594-nucleotide ribosomal RNA is filed under the name uncultured Geobacteraceae bacterium. RNAcentral's name for it is "bacterial SSU rRNA". The stretch from base 80 to 594 matches the Rfam family "Bacterial small subunit ribosomal RNA", at positions 1 to 526 of the family's 1533-position model. The record is from RNAcentral. Lineage: Bacteria; Pseudomonadati; Thermodesulfobacteriota; Desulfuromonadia; Geobacterales; Geobacteraceae.